This 75-nucleotide transfer RNA is filed under the name Bacteroidales bacterium. Its description in RNAcentral is "tRNA-Val". It matches the Rfam family "tRNA". From Rfam's summary of the family: Transfer RNA (tRNA) molecules are approximately 80 nucleotides in length. Their secondary structure includes four short double-helical elements and three loops (D, anti-codon, and T loops). Further hydrogen bonds mediate the characteristic L-shaped molecular structure. tRNAs have two regions of fundamental functional importance: the anti-codon, which is responsible for specific mRNA codon recognition, and the 3' end, to which the tRNAs corresponding amino acid is attached (by aminoacyl-tRNA synthetases). tRNAs cope with the degeneracy of the genetic code in two manners: having more than one tRNA (with a specific anti-codon) for a particular amino acid; and 'wobble' base-pairing, i.e. permitting non-standard base-pairing at the 3rd anti-codon position. Lineage: Bacteria; Pseudomonadati; Bacteroidota; Bacteroidia; Bacteroidales. The record is from RNAcentral. RNAcentral also lists the same sequence under 1 other name.
GGGAGCAUAGCUCAGUUGGUUUAGAGCAUCUGCCUUACAAGCAGAGGGUCGGCGGUUCGACUCCGUCUGCUCCCA